Sus scrofa (pig) is the source of this 2657-nucleotide non-coding RNA. Lineage: Eukaryota; Metazoa; Chordata; Mammalia; Artiodactyla; Suidae. The record is from RefSeq and is a predicted model, not a curated record.
UCUCUCAUGGAUACUAAUUGGGCUCAUUACUGAUGAGCCAGCACGGGAACUCCCAGGAGUUUUUCUUCACCUGCCCUUCCGGCCAUUGCACGGUGGUCCGUCCCUCCCCAGUGGGUGAGCGUUGGGUGAUGUGGUGACCACAUCUGACCUUCUUGGAGACCGACCAGGCUGAGGAAGGCAUGUGACCCAGGUCAGAGGGGGGCACGUGACCCGGGUCAGAGGAGGGCUUGAGCAUCAUUCGCUGGAGGUCGAUGGCAGGAGGACUAAAGGUGAGCAAAACCUCCCUGCGGGAUGGGGAGUUUUUAAGGAGAAAUGCUUCCCUGAGCUGACUGGGGGGGAUCUCAGCCUGGUGCGACAGGACCAGGAUUGCCUGUGGCCUCCUGAAGGUGGAAGACCCUGGGGGAGGGAGUCAGGCCUGGAACCCGAGGGCUGAGGGGGACAUGGGGCACUCGGGGCGGGGGCUGGUCACAGCGAGGUCCCUCUUUCUCCUUCUUGGAGUUGGUGCCUAUCUUCGUCUGCUCGGGCAGCCGCGAGGGCCACGGAGACUGGGAGGCUUAAACAGCCGGUCUUCACGUCUCUCAGCUCUGGAGGCUUGAAGGCUAAAAGAAAUGUUCAGCCAGUUUGGACUGGGGAAGAGCUGUCCUCUGGGCUUGCAGACAGCCGCUCCUCAGAGCCUGUGGCGGUGAGGGGGGCGGCGGUGCAAGAAGAGUGAGGAGGGAGGUUGGGUCCUGUGGGGUGAGAGCCUCACCCUGAGGGCCUCUCUGCCCUCUAACUGCACCCCUAAAGGCCUGAUUUGCAAAGGCAGUCACAUCAGGGAACAGGGCCGCCACCUGGUUUGGGAGAGCCUCGGUUCAGUCCACAGCUGUCCUGGUCCCUCGCUUCCUGCUCGCCUUUCCUUCCUGGCCUCACGUCCCGCAGGGACACAAGGGCUGCAUUUCUGCGCAGACCUCAGCCCGGAAGCACCAUCCUUGUUGCGCCAAGCCAGUAGGGUGGCUGCGGCCUAGUCGUUGGCUUCAAAGCCAGGGCUGGCAUCUCCUUCCCGCCCUCACUGAACGGCCCCUCCUGGACCUCCCUCAGCCUUCCCGUGGGAGUAAGAAGGGCCACAGGGAGGCCAGGCAGCCCAGGCCAGCAGAGGCCAGGAGCCGGACUUCAAACCCAGUUCAGCCCUAACCAGCCAGAUGGCCCCAGACAAGCCUUUACGUCUCCUUGGGCCUCAGGUGUCGCCUCUACAACAGAGGCCACAUUCGAAACCCUGCCCCCACCCCAACCCCACCCCGGACACAGCUGUUGCAGGUAACUGGGGAAAGCCCUGGAAAGAGGCAAAAACAGGAACAGGUGUAACGGGUAAAUGUGAGCGUGACUGCAGUUAAGAAGCCGUAAGGUUCGGGCCACGAAGAAGAUGCCUCUGCCUGGGCCGUGGCUGUAGAGUCAAGAAACUUCAGGUUUGGGCCAUGACGAAGAUGCCUCUGCCUGGACCCAGGCUCCCCGGCCAGCUGCGGGCAAAGGGACUGCGUCUUGGGGCCUGGUCAGGACUCGCCCCGUGGGCACUGGCUCUCUGCUGUGAACGUGGCGUGAGGUUCUCCGGCUCCUUUUGGCUGCUUGAGGCAUAUGGUUCCAGAGAAAGAGAGACCAAUUCCCUCAGGACCCAGGGGCCUGUCAUCCCUCUGGAGACAAAGGCCUGCCUGCUCUGUUUUUCAAACGUCAGGACGUCCCCUCAUGAAGGUGGCCCGGCAGGCCUGGCCCCUGCAUUUGUCCACUAGACAGAGACGGUGGCCUGUCCUCCCCAUGUCCAGGACUCUGAAGGGAAACACCGUCAAAGAGAAAGGAGAAAACCCCACGUUCUUUCCAGAGGAUCUCCUGCUUCAAGCCCUUCCGAAUUUGUCCAGUUAAAGGGACCCUACCCGAGAUCUGAAGUUCCCUUCUGUGCUCAGAUUCUCUUGGCUAAUUUUUUUCUUGCAUCAAAUGAUUUAGGGCUUCCUUUGCUUUCCAGCAGGUAAUCUGACCUCUCUACAUUAUAGGAAGGAGCGAAGGCAGGCUAAUGUAUUCACUCCAGCAGAGGCCAGUUGAAUGAUAGCAUCAGUUUGCAAUGCCAUUUGGAUUUUUUAAAAGAAAGGUGUUGUUCUGGAGUUGCCCUCAUUCUCUCCAAAUCUGAUUUCCCUGAGGGGGUUUCUGUUGCAUUGUUAGCCAAACAACAUGCAAAUAUAUUGAUACCUGGGAAUUUGGACUGUGGCAAGAACAGGAAGUUGCAAUUGCCAAGGUAUGAAGAGGCUAAAAACGGAGCCCAAGCAUGUAUGAGUUUCAUACACUAGAGGCCAAGAUCUUCAAAAUAUGAUUGAUGCUUAGAGAUCACCAAGUCCUUAUUAGGUGUUGGGUGUUGGUGUCUCUCUGCUGAUUGGUUUCUCUGAUUUCAUUUCGGGGUGGCAGUUCAGUACUUUGGGGGGCAAGGAAGUAGUCAGCUCUCCAGAUCUAGCAAAUAGUGUCUUCACGCGGACGGAACACUCCAUCAUGGGAUAGUCAUCAAGAGACAGAUCUCGAUUCUUAUCUGACUUGCGUGGAAACUUGGAUCCAGAGUAACCAUUAUUUUCAACAGAAUGGAGACCAGGCUCUUCUGUGUUCCUAAUUAUGUUUAAAAUAAAGUGCAACGUUUUUUCUGCUUU